Non-coding RNA from Anas platyrhynchos (mallard), 613 nucleotides. NCBI's taxonomy places the organism in Eukaryota, Metazoa, Chordata, Aves, Anseriformes, Anatidae. The record is from RefSeq and is a predicted model, not a curated record.
UAAAACCAGCAAGCAUACAUCCUGUUUCUUGUUGUAGAGUUUUGCCCCAGACUAUCAAUCAACUUUUCACCACUUCCUGCAACAGCAGGUCUGCUAUAAAUCCUGCAGUAACUGACUGGCUUUCAUUUCCUCUGCCAAACCCUGCUAACCUGCAAGGCACGACACGCUGACACCGGAGCAAGCAGCUGAUAAUGUAAUACAUGACUCCUGCGAGGCACGAGUUAAAGUGCUUGUUCUCUCAGCUGAAUGAUUUUAAAGAUCUUUAUAUUCUAUUUCCCAGGGGGGAUAAUUACUCAGUAUAACAGAGACUCUUCAAUUUUUUUUUUCCCCCCCUGCUCCUAAAGGAAUUGGAUUUAAAACUGGGGGAAGGGAAAUUUAAUGCAGAAGCUUACACAGUUUUAGGCACAGCGCAACAUUUAAAGGCUGAACUUGGAUGAAAUACAGCAACCUGCCUUCGCCCAACCCACAGAGUGGAAAACCAAGAAUUCCAGACGAUUUGAGAAGUUGCCAACUUUGUAACAGAGGAAACAUCUUCCUUACUCCUUAAGUAAAAAAGAAGGCAGACAGAAACCCCAAGCAAUGCACAGCAAGGUUCAUACGGCCUUGCAGGUAA